This is a long non-coding RNA of Harpia harpyja (harpy eagle), 787 nucleotides long. RefSeq lists it as uncharacterized. The transcript is spliced from 2 exons. The record is from RefSeq and is a predicted model, not a curated record. NCBI's taxonomy places the organism in Eukaryota, Metazoa, Chordata, Aves, Accipitriformes, Accipitridae.
UUAGAGAAAAUAUAUCCCAGCAUCUACAUUGGAAACUAUCUUACACAAGACUGGAAAAAAACAUUGGGAAACUUAAAAAGUACAGCCCCCAAGAAAAAAAAAAGGGGGGGGGGGACCACACAACAAAAAGGCUGGAGGCCUGUUUCCUAGAAACAAACAUCUGACAUGGCAUCUAAAUUACAAAAUUAAUGCUGUCUGGGGGGAGGAAAAAAAAAAAAAAAAAGCAGCUGUAACUGUAUGUUUCAGAAGCAGAAACAUUCUCAGAGCCUUAUAAACUUUAAUUCUUAUGAACUUUCAUUGUGAAGAAAGGACCUCUAUUUUUAUGACAAAAGCACCUAAUUGAUCAUAUCCAGCUGUAAAACUUACUCAACUAUUUGAACACCUUCCAUAUGUGGUUUUUGCCAUGUUGAUCUUAAUUUUUUUUUUUUCCCCAGCUUCCCAGCUGGCUAUUUUAUACACAACUGUGGGCACUAUCAAAAGUGAUUUUCCAGAGAAAAACUGGUCUGACAUCAGUCUGUGUCCCCAUGAGCUGCUACACUGCCCUGAGCCUGCAUUCUUCUUUAUGAGCAUUGCCAAAGCCCUUGCAUGAAGCACUGCAAACCCCUUUUUAGCUGAGCUGUCAAUAUGUAUCAUGGGAGAUUGAGUCUGGCAAAAGUCACUGAUGCCUGAAGCACAUGCAUUAAAACGGCCAAGAGGCACCCCAAUAACUGAAGAGACAGAGCAGAAACAUUGCAUUUGAAAUUUCAGAGUUCUUUCUGUCUAAAUAAAGUGUUGUUAUUCUUUUCAA